AGAGAGCUUGCUCUCUGAUUCAGCGGCGGACGGGUGAGUAAUGCCUAGGAAUCUGCCUGGUAGUGGGGGACGACGUUUCGAAAGGAACGCUAAUACCGCAUACGUCCUACGGGAGAAAGCAGGGGACCUUCGGGCCUUGCGCUAUCAGAUGAGCCUAGGUCGGAUUAGCUAGUUGGUGAGGUAAUGGCUCACCAAGGCGACGAUCCGUAACUGGUCUGAGAGGAUGAUCAGUCACACUGGAACUGAGACACGGUCCAGACUCCUACGGGAGGCAGCAGUGGGGAAUAUUGGACAAUGGGCGAAAGCCUGAUCCAGCCAUGCCGCGUGUGUGAAGAAGGUCUUCGGAUUGUAAAGCACUUUAAGUUGGGAGGAAGGGCAUUAACCUAAUACGUUGGUGUUUUGACGUUACCGACAGAAUAAGCACCGGCUAACUUCGUGCCAGCAGCCGCGGUAAUACGAAGGGUGCAAGCGUUAAUCGGAAUUACUGGGCGUAAAGCGCGCGUAGGUGGUUUGUUAAGUUGAAUGUGAAAGCCCCGGGCUCAACCUGGGAACUGCAUCCAAAACUGGCAAGCUAGAGUAUGGCAGAGGGUGGUGGAAUUUCCUGUGUAGCGGUGAAAUGCGUAGAUAUAGGAAGGAACACCAGUGGCGAAGGCGACCACCUGGGCUAAUACUGACACUGAGGUGCGAAAGCGUGGGGAGCAAACAGGAUUAGAUACCCUGGUAGUCCACGCCGUAAACGAUGUCGACUAGCCGUUGGGAUCCUUGAGAUCUUAGUGGCGCAGCUAACGCAUUAAGUCGACCGCCUGGGGAGUACGGCCGCAA
This 822-nucleotide ribosomal RNA is filed under the name bacterium. Its description in RNAcentral is "bacterial SSU rRNA". It matches the Rfam family "Bacterial small subunit ribosomal RNA", at positions 73 to 891 of the family's 1533-position model. The record is from RNAcentral.